GACGAACGCUGGCGGCGUGCCUAAUACAUGCAAGUAGAACGCUGAAGGAGGAGCUUGCUUCUCUGGAUGAGUUGCGAACGGGUGAGUAACGCGUAGGUAACCUGCCUGGUAGCGGGGGAUAACUAUUGGAAACGAUAGCUAAUACCGCAUAAUAGUAGAUGUUGCAUGACAUUUGCUUAAAUGUUGCAAUUGCAUCACUACCAGAUGGACCUGCGUUGUAUUAGCUAGUUGGUGAGGUAACGGCUCACCAAGGCGACGAUACAUAGCCGACCUGAGAGGGGGAUCGGCCACACUGGGACUGAGACACGGCCCAGACUCCUACGGGAGGCAGCAGUAGGGAAUCUUCGGCAAUGGACGGAAGUCUGACCGAGCAACGCCGCGGGAGUGAAGAAGGUUGUCGGAUCGUAAAGCUCUGUUGUAAGAGAAGAACGAGUGUGAGAGUGGAAAGUUCACACUGUGACGGUAGCUGACCAGAAAGGGACGGCUAACUACGUG
Molecule: ribosomal RNA, 495 nt
Filed under: uncultured bacterium
Lineage: Bacteria
Description: partial 16S ribosomal RNA
Rfam family: Bacterial small subunit ribosomal RNA
Source: RNAcentral